RNAcentral lists this ribosomal RNA (253 nucleotides) under uncultured bacterium. Its description in RNAcentral is "partial 16S ribosomal RNA". It matches the Rfam family "Bacterial small subunit ribosomal RNA", at positions 524 to 776 of the family's 1533-position model. The record is from RNAcentral.
UACAGAGGUCUCAAGCGUUGUUCGGAUUCAUUGGGCGUAAAGGGUGCGUAGGCGGCGCGGUAAGUCGGGUGUGAAAUCUCGGAGCUUAACUCCGAAACUGCAUUCGAUACUGCCGUGCUUGAGGACUGGAGAGGAGACUGGAAUUUACGGUGUAGCGGUGAAAUGCGUAGAUAUCGUAAGGAAGACCAGUGGCGAAGGCGGGUCUCUGGACCGGUACUGACGCUGAUGCGCGAAAGCGUGGGGAGCAAACGGG